This 84-nucleotide transfer RNA is filed under the name Bacteriophage sp. RNAcentral describes it as "tRNA-Leu". It matches the Rfam family "tRNA". Rfam says of the family: Transfer RNA (tRNA) molecules are approximately 80 nucleotides in length. Their secondary structure includes four short double-helical elements and three loops (D, anti-codon, and T loops). The record is from RNAcentral. RNAcentral also lists the same sequence under 1 other name.
GCUGGUGUGCUGGAACUGGUAGACAGUGCAGACUUAAAAUCUGUUGAUAUUUAUAUCGUGAGGGUUCGAUUCCCUUCACCAGUA